Molecule: non-coding RNA, 81 nt
Organism: Pelobates cultripes (western spadefoot toad)
Lineage: Eukaryota; Metazoa; Chordata; Amphibia; Anura; Pelobatidae
Source: the annotation of a GenBank genome assembly
UUUUGGUCCCUACUCGGGACCUUCUUCAGGGUCAAAUACAACAGUUGUAUUUGACCCUGAAGAAGGUCCCAAGCGAGGACC